RNAcentral lists this transfer RNA (75 nucleotides) under Ixodes scapularis (black-legged tick). RNAcentral's name for it is "tRNA-Thr". It matches the Rfam family "tRNA". Rfam says of the family: Transfer RNA (tRNA) molecules are approximately 80 nucleotides in length. Their secondary structure includes four short double-helical elements and three loops (D, anti-codon, and T loops). Further hydrogen bonds mediate the characteristic L-shaped molecular structure. tRNAs have two regions of fundamental functional importance: the anti-codon, which is responsible for specific mRNA codon recognition, and the 3' end, to which the tRNAs corresponding amino acid is attached (by aminoacyl-tRNA synthetases). tRNAs cope with the degeneracy of the genetic code in two manners: having more than one tRNA (with a specific anti-codon) for a particular amino acid; and 'wobble' base-pairing, i.e. permitting non-standard base-pairing at the 3rd anti-codon position. Lineage: Eukaryota; Metazoa; Arthropoda; Arachnida; Ixodida; Ixodidae. The record is from RNAcentral.
CCCUGGUUAGCUCAGUUGGUAGAGCGCUCCACCAGUAAUGGAGAGGUCCCGGGUUCGAUGCCCGGACCAGACGGA